GGCUCAAUGGUCUAGUAGUAUGAUUCCUGCUUCGGGAUAAUCCCGCAUGCGAUGUGUGCAGAAGAUGCAGGAGGUCCCGGGUUCAAUUCCCGGUUGAGCCC
Molecule: non-coding RNA, 101 nt
Organism: Amylostereum chailletii
Lineage: Eukaryota; Fungi; Basidiomycota; Agaricomycetes; Russulales; Stereaceae
Source: the annotation of a GenBank genome assembly